This 253-nucleotide ribosomal RNA is filed under the name uncultured bacterium. RNAcentral's name for it is "partial 16S ribosomal RNA". It matches the Rfam family "Bacterial small subunit ribosomal RNA", at positions 524 to 776 of the family's 1533-position model. The record is from RNAcentral.
UACGUAGGGUGCGAGCGUUUAAUCGGAAUUACUGGGCGUAAAGCGUGCGCAGGCGGUGGCUCAAGCCAGGCGUGAAAUCCCCGGGCUUAACCUGGGAAUGGCGUUUGGGACUGGUCGCUAGAGUGUGGCAGAGGGAGGUGGAAUUCCACGUGUAGCAGUGAAAUGCGUAGAGAUGUGGAGGAACACCGAUGGCGAAGGCAGCCUCCUGGGCCAGCACUGACGCUCAUGCACGAAAGCGUGGGGAGCAAACAGG